UUUCCGUAGGUGAACCUGCGGAAGGAUCAUUAUUGUAUAACCGAGGUGCGAGGGCAGUCGCUGACCCGAAAGGUCGUGCACGCCCGAGUGCCCUCACACACAUCCAUCUCACCCCUAUGUGCACCACCGCGUGGGUCCCCCUUUGGCUUGUUCGGAGGGGGGCUUACGUUUUCACACAAACUUUGUAUGCAGUGUAGAAUGUAUUUUUGUUUUUGCGAUCACGCAAUCAAUACAACUUUCAACAACGGAUCUCUUGGCUCUC
Molecule: unclassified non-coding RNA, 262 nt
Filed under: plant metagenome
Description: partial contains small subunit ribosomal RNA, internal transcribed spacer 1, and 5.8S ribosomal RNA
Source: RNAcentral